AGCGAACGCUGGCGGCAGGCCUAACACAUGCAAGUCGAACGAACCUUUCGGGGUUAGUGGCGGACGGGUGAGUAACACGUGGGAACGUGCCUUUAGGUUCGGAAUAACUCAGGGCAACUUGUGCUAAUACCGAAUGUGCCCUUCGGGGGAAAGAUUUAUCGCCUUUCGAGCGGCCCGCGUCUGAUUAGCUAGUUGGUUGAGGUAAUGGCUCACCAAGGCGACGAUCAGUAGCUGGUCUGAGAGGAUGAUCAGCCACAUUGGGACUGAGACACGGCCCAAACUCCUACGGGAGGCAGCAGUGGGGAAUCUUGCGCAAUGGGCGAAAGCCGGACGCAGCCAUGCCGCGUGAAUGAUGAAGGUCUUAGGAUUGUAAAAUUCUUUCACCGGGGACGGUAAUGACGGUACCCGGAGAAGAAGCCCCGGCUAACUUCGUG
This 434-nucleotide ribosomal RNA is filed under the name uncultured bacterium. RNAcentral's name for it is "partial 16S ribosomal RNA". It matches the Rfam family "Bacterial small subunit ribosomal RNA", at positions 29 to 507 of the family's 1533-position model. The record is from RNAcentral.